UGGGGAAUCUUGCACAAUGGGCGCAAGCCUGAUGCAGCCAUGCCGCGUGAGUGAUGAAGGCCCUAGGGUUGUAAAGCUCUUUCAGUGGGGAAGAUAAUGACGGUACCCACAGAAGAAGCCCCGGCUAACUCCGUGCCAGCAGCCGCGGUAAUACGGAGGGGGCUAGCGUUGUUCGGAAUUACUGGGCGUAAAGCGCACGCAGGUGGUAACGCAAGUGGGGUGUGAAAGCCGCCAGCUCAACUGGCGGAGGCCAUCCCAAACUGCGUCACUUGAGGGCUGUAGAGGUAUGUGGAAUUGCCGGUGUAGUGGUGAAAUGCGUAGAGAUCGGCAGGAACACCCAGGGGGAAGCCAGCAUACUGGACAGGUCCUGACACUCAGGUGCAACAGCGUGGGGAGCGAACCGGAUUAGAUACCCCCGUAGUCC
RNAcentral lists this ribosomal RNA (424 nucleotides) under uncultured prokaryote. RNAcentral's name for it is "bacterial SSU rRNA". It matches the Rfam family "Bacterial small subunit ribosomal RNA", at positions 355 to 796 of the family's 1533-position model. The record is from RNAcentral.